This 1310-nucleotide long non-coding RNA is filed under the name Cyanistes caeruleus (blue tit). RNAcentral's name for it is "lncRNA (ENSCCEG00000013649.1)". The record is from RNAcentral. Lineage: Eukaryota; Metazoa; Chordata; Aves; Passeriformes; Paridae.
GGCUGAUGCUGCUCACCUCAACCAGGGAUGGCUCAGGAGCAGCUUCUGGGGCUGGGCAUCCUGGGAGAGAAGAACCUGGAGAGCCACCACCACCUCCUGCUUCCGAGCAUCAUUUGCAGCUCAGGAGAGCUCGUUGAGAAGCUGGGCGUGUUAAUAAGGCAGAGCACGCAGGCGUUUGCAAUUCACCAGAUCAUUCACAAGUUACCUCCAACCCAACCUUGUCAUUGCAAUUCGUCACACUUACAGUGGAUGCUUUUAUGUGCUGCAUCUCGCCCGAGUCUCAUCACGCCAGGCCAGUGCCACAGGCUACGAGACAACAACAAAGAUCUCAAGCGUGGUUUAAAAGGUAGCACUAUAAAAGAGGGGGAAUAAUGGCUGCAAUCACUGCUAGAUGUCCUGUUCCCACAGAUCCUGCAGCCUUCCCUUGAUUUCAGACCAAAGCUGAGUAGUAGGAACGACUGCCUUCCCCACUGCCACCUUAAACCUGAUUUAUCCGGCACCCUCAGCGUGGAGAAGCCCUGGCAUGGUAUUUCUGGAGGGAAUACACUGGGCACAGUUCCAUUGUGAAAAAUGCUGGAGGAGGCUCUCCCUAAUCACCUUUUGGCUGAUGCUCUGUGGGAAUUGGGGUGGUGUUAUGAAUGGACCUCUAGCUGUGCAGAGUUCCCAGCUUUGCUGCGGGUUUCUGGGGUGUCCUUGGACAAACCAUCAAAGGUUGUUUUAUCUCUUGUUGUAAGCAGCGAAGUUAUGCUAUUCCUUAAAGGAAAAAAAAAAAAGUGAGAACAAAAUAGAUCUGCUUUUCCUCUGUUCUUCAUCUGGAAAAUGCAGCUCAUAAUUUUUUCAUAAUCCUUCCCCAUCUGGUUUCUAGAUACUGGAAUUUGUGCCUUAGCAUGGUUUCAUACAGUCCCUAACAUAAUGGUUUCUCAGUCUCAGGGAUGGCCCUCAGGUUACAGGAACUUUAUGGUGAUUUCUGUCAAGAGAUGCUGCUGCACUUCCAAGUGCCCUCUGUGGAGACUUAAGGCCUGUGCACCACUUCCUCUCCUGGAGUCUCCAGUUCUUAUUUCCUUUUGUGGCACUGGGUAAACUUUUGUUUUCUGUCAGCCUGGGUUAGUUCUGGUAAUGAUUUGGUUGCAAAUACACCCGUGUGAGUUUUGGCACAAAGCAUGUGCAAGCCUUAGCAUGGAAGACUGCAAUUCCAAGCCAAGGAGCAGCUGCCUUGAGGUUCUCUCUUAAAUUUCUCCUUUCAGUCACUAGAACUGUGCUGAAGCUGCUUUCUCCAGAUUGCAAUAAAUUCCUGUCUCUGGAGAAAGACA